Long non-coding RNA from Dama dama (fallow deer), 1642 nucleotides. RefSeq lists it as uncharacterized. The record is from RefSeq and is a predicted model, not a curated record. The transcript has 3 exons. Lineage: Eukaryota; Metazoa; Chordata; Mammalia; Artiodactyla; Cervidae.
CUUGCUGGAAAUUCAUACCCACACCUGGCUUUCCAAGUGCCUUGGGGACAGAGAAGAGGUGGCCCCCACCAGGGGAGGCUCCACGGCCUCGUGUGUGGGCUGAGAACCAGUGUCCACACUGGCGGGCGUAAGAGGAGGGAGAUACCAGGAAACUCGGCCACAUCUAAUUUGGAGCUGUUGGGAAAGUAUGAAUGAUCAUCUCUGCCUGCAUUAUCUACCUCAGCUAGGACACUGGCAAUUCCAGGAACUGGGGAGAAGGAAAGAUGGAAAAGGGGCAUCGUGAGAUUGUGGACAAACACUCAGACUGACCCGUGACUGCAGAGAUUCUUUACCACCUGAGCCACCAGACGUGAGAAGAACCAUUACUAAUUUCUGUCUCAAAGGAAGAAUGAGAAGUUCACUGGACCCCUGUGAGACCAGGAACAAGAAACAUCAGAACCCCCAGCAUCCUGGAUCUGCUUCUGGCAUUCAUGUUGCAGCUCCCAGUGUCUAAAAGACUACUAUUUUUGAUGCGCAGCUGUUGAGUUGAAACAUCUGAUAGUUUCUCUUCUCCAGGCGGGUUUGGUGCAAGAUACCAGUAAACGAUCAUUUGUUUCAGUUCUUAUAAGCGUCUAGAGACUAGAGAACAGUUCCUCCCACACAAGCUCCUUCUCUUCUGGCUUUCAGCCUAGGGGAUCUUAGACCCCAGAGGAACCAUGCAGAGCUCUGAUCAGGCAGACCUGGGCUUUUAUUCCUCAAUGACUGUGGGGACCCAUCUGGCUUUCAAGGCUGAUCAGCUGGACAACAGGCACAUCCAAGGUUACCCCCAAGGUCACCCCCAUACCUUGGAGUCCACACUAAGUGCUUGCCGUGGCUGAAUGAAGCUCCUUUUGCCUUCUUCCCCGUGGAUUUGGAGACUCACCGCUCUGAUUCACUGGAGCAGUCAUUUGUGUACUCGGAGGCCAUUGGUGAAAUAUCCCUUUCAGUUCAGGGGGAAGAAAGUGGUCAAAACAUUUAACAACUGGUAAGAUUUAACAGGGCAUCUCUGGUGGUUCAGACAGUAGAAGAAUCUGCCUGCAAUACAGGAGACCUGGGUUCGAUCCCUGGGUGGGGAAGACCCUCUGGAGAAAGGAAAGGCUGGCUACCCACUCCAGUAUUCUUGCCUGGAGAAUCCCAUGGACAGAUGGCAGAGGCCAGAGCACUAUCCAGCUGGAUUGGCUACUGGACACAGAGUUUGAGCAAUUUCCUGAAGGAGCCUUGUCAUAGUCUCCAGGGACUCAAGGAAGCAGCUUUUUGCUUGUUGGGGAGGGAGGUAUCUCCACAUCUUAACAAUAGGCAGGUCUGCUGCAGACUGUUUCUAAUGGAGAAUAUCCAGCCUCAAGUCUGACCAAUCACCUUGUUUAUCUAUCCUCAAGGUAUUUAUCAAUCUUGCUCACAUGAUGACCCACAAUUGGAUAAUUCACAAGGUCAGAAAGACAUCCCUCUAUGUCAAUAGCCAGAUGGUCUUUCCCCAUAUCUGGAGAAUUAUUUAAGAUCAUUUACAAAAAUGUAAUCAAAUUGUUAUCAUGUGCAAAUGAGAGAUUAUAAUAACAUAAAUACCAGUUUGAAAAAAAAAAGUGAAAGAAAGUUAAUCGCUCAGUCAUGUCUGACUCUUUGCUACCCC